GGUGAGCAGGCUGAGGGGACCCCCAGUACAGCAGGUCAGAAUACCCGUGGGGUUUAAGUAGGCAGGAUAAAAAAAAAAUGUCCUGCUUUAGUCCUCAGCCUACAGAUGGUCACUGAAGCCCCGAAUGAGAUCGUCAGGAGAGAGAACCAAGCUCAAGGUUAAGGCUGAAGGGACUGCCCCUCGUGAAGGCAGGUCAAGGAGGAUGAGGAGCCAGCCAGGUGGGCAGAAGGGGAGGAGGAAACCUGGUGCAGACCCCACUCGCACAACACCCAGCCUGCCCACCAGCCCCGUCCAGCAAAGGUGUCACUGGAGGAGAUCGACUGCGUUCAUAGAGUCUGUCUUUCCCAUGACUCAGUUAUGGACCAGUGGAAAGGGCGGAGUUUACGAAGUCGGACAGAACGAAGUUAAUACAACACAAACGGAGGUCUUAACCGUGGAGAUAAUGAAAAGAUAUCAGCUCGUAGGCAGGGAAGGGGGACUGAACGACCCCCCCCUGGGAUGA
This 502-nucleotide long non-coding RNA is filed under the name Felis catus (domestic cat). RNAcentral's name for it is "lncRNA (ENSFCAG00000050067.1)". The record is from RNAcentral. Lineage: Eukaryota; Metazoa; Chordata; Mammalia; Carnivora; Felidae.